This 871-nucleotide ribosomal RNA is filed under the name Escherichia coli. RNAcentral describes it as "partial 23S ribosomal RNA". It matches the Rfam family "Bacterial large subunit ribosomal RNA", at positions 1 to 915 of the family's 2925-position model. Lineage: Bacteria; Pseudomonadati; Pseudomonadota; Gammaproteobacteria; Enterobacterales; Enterobacteriaceae. The record is from RNAcentral.
GGUUAAGCGACUAAGCGUACACGGUGGAUGCCCUGGCAGUCAGAGGCGAUGAAGGACGUGCUAAUCUGCGAUAAGCGUCGGUGAGGUGAUAUGAACCGUUAUAACCGGCGAUUUCCGAAUGGGGAAACCCAGUGUGUUUCGACACACUAUCAUUAACUGAAUCCAUAGGUUAAUGAGGCGAACCGGGGGAACUGAAACAUCUAAGUACCCCGAGGAAAAGAAAUCAACCGAGAUUCCCCCAGUAGCGGCGAGCGAACGGGGAGGAGCCCAGAGCCUGAAUCAGUGUGUGUGUUAGUGGAAGCGUCUGGAAAGGCGUGCGAUACAGGGUGACAGCCCCGUACACAAAAAUGCACAUAUUGUGAGCUCGAUGAGUAGGGCGGGACACGUGGUAUCCUGUCUGAAUAUGGGGGGACCAUCCUCCAAGGCUAAAUACUCCUGACUGACCGAUAGUGAACCAGUACCGUGAGGGAAAGGCGAAAAGAACCCCGGCGAGGGGAGUGAAAAAGAACCUGAAACCGUGUACGUACAAGCAGUGGGAGCCUCUUAAUGGGGUGACUGCGUACCUUUUGUAUAAUGGGUCAGCGACUUAUAUUCUGUAGCAAGGUUAACCGAAUAGGGGAGCCGAAGGGAAACCGAGUCUUAACUGGGCGUUAAGUUGCAGGGUAUAGACCCGAAACCCGGUGAUCUAGCCAUGGGCAGGUUGAAGGUUGGGUAACACUAACUGGAGGACCGAACCGACUAAUGUUGAAAAAUUAGCGGAUGACUUGUGGCUGGGGGUGAAAGGCCAAUCAAACCGGGAGAUAGCUGGUUCUCCCCGAAAGCUAUUUAGGUAGCGCCUCGUGAAUUCAUCUCCGGGGGUAGAGCACUGUUU